This 460-nucleotide ribosomal RNA is filed under the name uncultured bacterium. Its description in RNAcentral is "partial 16S ribosomal RNA". It matches the Rfam family "Bacterial small subunit ribosomal RNA", at positions 338 to 795 of the family's 1533-position model. The record is from RNAcentral.
CCUACGGGCGGCUGCAGUGAGGAAUAUUGGUCAAUGGCCGUAAGGCUGAACCAGCCAAGUAGCGUGAGGGAAGACUGCCCUAUGGGUUGUAAACCUCUUUUAUGCGGGGAUACAGGUGUCCACGUGUGGAUGUUUGCAGGUACCGCAUGAAUAAGGACAGGCUAAUUCCGUGCUAGCCGCCGCGGUAAUACGGAAGGUCCGAGCGUUAUCCGGAUUUAUUGGGUUUAAAGGGAGCGUAGAGGGGUUGUUAAGUCAGUUGUGAAAGCUAGCGGCUCAACCGUAAAAUUGCAAUUGAUACUGGCAGACUGGAGUACAGUUGAGGUAGGCGGAAUUCGUGGUGUAGCGGUGAAAUGCUUAGAUAUCACGAAGAACACCGAUUGCGAAGGCAGCUUACUAAACUGCCACUGACAUUGAUGCGCGAAAGUGUGGGUAGCAAACAGGAUUAGAUACCCUUGUAGUC